UGACCACAACCGCCGUAGGCUAACGCCUGUUGACAUCGUCCGUCGGUUACCCCACAUUGGUGUCAGAAGUGGGAUUGCAAAGAAGUCCCGUAGGAACCGAGGAGGACGAUUUAACUUGUGGUAUUAAAUUUUCACUUCAAAAUGGCUAGUGAGAAUCAGCCCGACACAGCAACUAGGGAGACAGCUCCUGGAUCUUUCUCCGCGUUCGCUCCAAUGCUGCAAAGCUUCGGUGGCGAAACAACAUCGCGAGUAACUGAUUUUUUUGACGUCAUAGAUGAAAUCGGGCAGUUAGCGUCAUGGUCUGACCGACAGAAGUUAGGGAUCGCAAAAUGCAAGCUGACAGGCAUUGCGC
RNAcentral lists this long non-coding RNA (352 nucleotides) under Androctonus crassicauda. The record is from RNAcentral. Lineage: Eukaryota; Metazoa; Arthropoda; Arachnida; Scorpiones; Buthidae.